GCACUGCUGACGAAUCCUAAACAGGACGAAACAGCUGUCCAGUGU
RNAcentral lists this non-coding RNA (45 nucleotides) under Echinostoma caproni. The record is from RNAcentral. Lineage: Eukaryota; Metazoa; Platyhelminthes; Trematoda; Plagiorchiida; Echinostomatidae.